Molecule: ribosomal RNA, 580 nt
Filed under: Candida albicans
Lineage: Eukaryota; Fungi; Ascomycota; Pichiomycetes; Serinales; Debaryomycetaceae
Description: LSU rRNA
Rfam family: Eukaryotic large subunit ribosomal RNA
Source: RNAcentral
GCCUCAGUAGCGGCGAGUGAAGCGGCAAAAGCUCAAAUUUGAAAUCUGGCGUCUUUGGCGUCCGAGUUGUAAUUUGAAGAAGGUAUCUUUGGGCCCGGCUCUUGUCUAUGUUCCUUGGAACAGGACGUCACAGAGGGUGAGAAUCCCGUGCGAUGAGAUGACCCGGGUCUGUGUAAAGUUCCUUCGACGAGUCGAGUUGUUUGGGAAUGCAGCUCUAAGUGGGUGGUAAAUUCCAUCUAAAGCUAAAUAUUGGCGAGAGACCGAUAGCGAACAAGUACAGUGAUGGAAAGAUGAAAAGAACUUUGAAAAGAGAGUGAAAAAGUACGUGAAAUUGUUGAAAGGGAAGGGCUUGAGAUCAGACUUGGUAUUUUGCAUGUUGCUCUCUCGGGGGCGGCCGCUGCGGUUUACCGGGCCAGCAUCGGUUUGGAGCGGCAGGAUAAUGGCGGAGGAAUGUGGCACGGCUUCUGCUGUGUGUUAUAGCCUCUGACGAUACUGCCAGCCUAGACCGAGGACUGCGGUUUUUACCUAGGAUGUUGGCAUAAUGAUCUUAAGUCGCCCGUCUUGAAACACGGACCAAGGA